UACAGAGGGUGCGAGCGUUAAUCGGAGUUACUGGGUGUAAAGGGCGCGUAGGCGGUGAUAUGUGUGUGAUGUGAAAGCCCCGGGCUUAACCUGGGAAGUGCAUCGCAAACUAUAUUACUGGAGUAUAUGAGAGGGUGGCGGAAUUUACGGUGUAGCGGUGAAAUGCGUAGAGAUCGGAAGGAACGUCGAUAGCGAAGGCAGCCACCUGGCAUAAUACUGACGCUGAGGCGCGAAAGCGUGGGGAGCGAACAGG
This 253-nucleotide ribosomal RNA is filed under the name uncultured bacterium. RNAcentral describes it as "partial 16S ribosomal RNA". It matches the Rfam family "Bacterial small subunit ribosomal RNA", at positions 524 to 776 of the family's 1533-position model. The record is from RNAcentral.